AGUGCCAGCAGCUGUGAGCCUUCAGCAGGACCUUGAUGGGGCUCAGCUGCCAUAGCCUUGCCUUAGCCUUUAUCAUGAGAAUUCAUGAGUGAUUUGGAGGAGAUGGUUCUGCAACACUUGGCUCUGUCCUAGAGAUGUGCUGAUCAGAAGGCAACAGAUCUUGCCACUGGAGUAAGUGAUAUUACUGACCCGAGUAAAGGCUGUGUGAUGAGGCUUAACACGAAGAUGGAAGAAGAAAGGUCUGGGAAGCUGAACCUUGCAUAGACCACUGAUGGACUAUGAAUCUUCAGGAAGAGAAGAAGGGAUUAGCUCAUAAGAAGUCAUUGAUUGUAUACUGUUCCAGCAAAGCAGUUUACCCUCUGAGGCCCUCGCUGUCAGCUCCACGCUCAUACAUCCAUGCCCUGCUGUCGAGCCUGACAGCCGUCUAUUGUUCAUUCACUGCUUCCACCUCGCCACUUAAUAUUAUUGCGAUAAGGAAACUCCCAUGUCACGACCCACUGGCGUCUGGCUAAUCCGAUGGUAUUCGUCGCCGCAUUGUCCGUGAUCAAUAACUAAUUAUCAAAGUGGCAUUUCUUUUCAAGAGCUCCUUGUUAAAAAAUGGCUUUUGGCUGAAACUAGAGGAAAAAGGUCGCCACUUUGACAUCGUUGCAAGUCUUUCAAAAUCCAGUGGGCCGUCCAAUUGAAUUACUGUCCCAAACUAAUUGAUAUAAAUUUGAACAGAAGAAUGCUUGUUACUACAGAAUGUCAUAAUGAUAUCCUUGGCAAGAGCAUGUCAGUGGGAAAAAAGAGAAAAGACCAGCACUAGUCACAAAGCAUCUAGACAAGUUGCCGCAGAAGACUGUUAACGAAAGUAAGAGGAAUAAAAUCGUGCAUCAGUUCCUUUUUCUCAGUAAGGUUUGGUCAGAUGUUCAAGAAACAUCAAUUAACAUCUGCUUUUUGUAACAUUUUGCAUUUGAAAUCAGACUUUAUAAAACCUGCUGUAAGAAAGGAAUAAUUGCAGUAUACUAAGGACUGAAAACCUGAUGAUCAGUUGCAGAAGUCUCAUUGACUCUACUGAGAUCUCGAGGGAGCGUCUGUUGGAAUUUAGCUUUAGUCAUGAGGCCGAACUUGGCAGACAGUUUCCUUAAGCAGCCUUAAAAUAUGACCUUCUUCAAAGCAAACUGGAUUGGAUGUAAAUAAGUCACAUGACUUUGAACUAGAAAAAGAACACAGGCACUUAAAAUACAGGAAGCGCAGUCAUAAAAAUGUGGUGAAAAAAGUGAUGACAAAAAGAUUUCAUACUGUUCAUGCCUGAGAUUUGAUGUACUGUCUUACAUGCCUUUCGGAGACUGCUGCAGAAAUCUUGGAACCCUUUUGAUUUUUCAUUGCGUGACAACAGAGCUUGUGAUGUUUCUGGUUUUGUUUAUGUUUUCUAGACCUAAUUACCUUCCCCUCUGUGUCAUACAUUCUGUCUCUGAGCUGGGAAUUGCAAAGGAGGAGCACAGGCAAAGGUCACGCCACAACGGGGUAAGAGGUGUUGUGGAAAAAGGGGUACUGCAAAAGAGUCUUUGUGGGAGCAUGGUAACUAGACUUGACUCAUGACAGAAAUUAAUCAGAUGGAUUUAUCAGUUAUCUUCUCAAAAAAAAAAAAGUUGUCAAUUAGUUUGCCAAAAUGUGUCAUUUUAGUCACAUGCAGAGGAAGUCAUGUGAUUGCUGAGGAAGAGAGAAGAGAAGGGCAUUUGUGCCUAAUUGGAAACAGUGAGUGUAUGUGCUUUUUAAUCCCUGAUCUUAAAAGGCUCCAGCUGGGGUUUAGUAAUGAAUAUAUUUCCUGCAAACUUACUGUUUUACAUUUCCCAAUGAUAAAGAGAAGGUGACUAAUGAAUUGACACAGGGACUUUAAUCUCUGCAGUAGAUUUGCAGAUGCCAUUCACAGUGUAUCAAUCAGCAAACAGAAGUUUUUAGUAUCUGAUGACUAGUCAGUAGCCAGUGUGAACUGAGUUGUAUCUCCACGCAGAACCUAAUGGUCAAAACCCAAUACUGCCUAUUUUGUGCAGUAUUUUUGGGAUAAAUUCAACAUAGUGACUCUGGAACACACGGAUCAGAGAGACUAAAUAAAUUUACAGAUGGCAAUUAUCUUGUUUGGGCUGGGUUGUGACAGAUGACAAUUUUGAAAAUAGGCAAUCGAUGCAUGAAUUGGAUUUAAUAGAAGACUGACAGACUGUUGCUUACGAUAGAUUUAUUGCUUAGAUAAUAAGGCCAUCAAGGCAUAUUUUCUUGUUAUGUCAAAGCCACAGAACAAAGUGAGAAACCACAAGGGUUUAAAGAUUCACAUUCACAUGGUUUUGAUUAGAAAGGGGAAAGUCUACUUUUGUUGCUGAAAGACCAAAGGUAGCAAGGUCACUACAUUCAGUUCCAUUCUGCCUUCCGUAUAUGACUUUAUGACUGUCCUCUUAUACUGGAGGCAGGAAAUGCCUUGUGAUGGCAAAUAGCUGAGCCAUCUCUGACAGACUUACAUCAUCACAGAGUCGCUAGGGAACUCUCUUCUUGUCUUCCAUGGCUGCUUUAAUGACACUUUGUGAGGCUUUCUUUAGCAGACCAGAGAAUUCAGUCUGAAAGCCUGUCGGGUGGGUCAGCCACUGUCUAGGUCAUCCAAUCUUGCCCUUAAUUAUUCCCUCUGGCAUUACAUUCACAGGAUGGUGGAAGUAGAGGCUAAAUAUAUACUGUCUAUUUAUGGGCUAUCUAUAUAAUAUUUUGGCAUCUAUGGAACAUAUCUAUACUGUUGUUACUGGAAUCUACAUUUGCAUCAUUGUGUAGCCUGUAGGAGAAGUUGAAAUGUCUGUGAUGGAACUGGAAAAAGACUCCUACACGUUUGUGAACUAGUUUUGGGUCUAAUUGAAACCCUAAUACCGUCAGAGCUGAUAAUGCCAUUAAACAGUUCAGAAUUGAUAUCAACUCUAUCAUGUAGAAGUAACUGCUCUGAAAGAGUGAAAAUGUUAUGACUUGAUAGUGCAUGGCCUUCUUAAAAAAAAGUAGUGUAAUCCAAAAUCAAUGUAGCCUCUACUAAGCAGAUUUAAAAUUUGUUAUCUGAUCUCAAAAUCUGCCUGUAAAUAAGAAAUCACAAUUUUUAAUGUGGUUCAACACAGAACUUUAUUUAGCUCAAAGUUAUUCACUUCUCUGAAAUAUUUUGUAGAAAAUAUAAAACUGCAAAUAGAAUUUGAAAGUGACAAUUUGUAAACGACAAUAAGGGUGAGUUAGUUAUGUAGUUUUAUGGAGAUUACAUUGCAUUACCCACAUGUAAAUGUGGAGUCAUUAUGUAAUCACCGAUUAUGUUUGUAAAGGGUGAACUGAAAUUGUCAUGAUAAUAGUAAUUGAACAGCAAACAGUACAAGGGGGUAAGUGCAAUUCGUGGAUGUACAAGAAAGAGAACCCUGAAAAGAGUAAUAUCACUUAAAAAAAAAAUCCAAAACAAAACACAAACAUAUAAAAAGAUUCUGAUAACAGAAAUUGAAAGGAUUUGAGAUCCGGAAAAUUAUUUUUGUGUUGAACUUUAGAGAGCUCUAUUCACUGUUAUAUUCUAGGAGUAUUCUAGGAGUUUAUUCACCCAAGAUCUGCAAGGAAUUUCUAAACAGCUAAUGAUCAAUGUUUUUUCUCCCAUAGUUAAAAUUCAAAAUAAUUAGAGCUAAUUAAAGCUAAAAAGACAAAUUCAGCUUUGAAAUGUCAGUUCUUACCAUUUUUCAACACAUGUUGCAAUGUUAUUAAGAGAAAUAUGACAAAAUAUUCGUAAAACCUUUGAAAUAUCCUUUACUCCAUCUCUUACUAGCAUCCUAGGUAAAGUCACAGGUAAAUGAAUGAUGUUCUUCUUUAUUAAUUUUUUAACCUCUUCUACAGAAGUGAAUACUUAAGUGAAUUUUAAUUAUAUCCUAAAAUAUGUAAUGCUAAUUCCAGCUAAUUGUCCCAAAGUAGUUAAUAUAUAAAUAGCUCUGAAUAUCUCGUACCUGCUGCUUCUAUUUAAUGCUUACUUCCUUUGUUUCUUUUUUUGCUCUUUCUAGUACGGAAGUAGAGCAAGGGACCAUAUGCAGCUAGAUCAAAGCAGGAGUCUGUCCAGAAAGGAGUUGUGGCUCAUGAGUCAUAACUAAUCCCUUGAUUACCCUCAGAUGGUACAUUUUUAUUUCCUUUCUUGUAUCUGGCCAGCUGUUGCUCCUACUGCUGAUCCUGCUGGUGUUUUACUGCUUUUAUUGGCACUCUGAUGUCUUUUGGUAGUCAAAUAGGAUCAGAAGCAGGGAUACAGGAGAGCAGUUGUACUACAUCCAGAACAUUCAUGGCUGAGUAGCUCAGGUGAGAUCAGCAGAAGCAUCUCUUCUCUCCACAACUGUUAAACAGGCCUUGAAGUUUUAUUGUGGCACUUAUCACUUCACUACCUGAACAACUCCCAGGUUAAUUGAAUGACCAGAGUUCUUAGCGAUGGUGGGUGUUGGCUUUUUUCUCUCCCUGCUUAGGAAUCUGAUGGUGAAGAUAGAGAGGUCAGCAACCACUGUCUUUAACAGCAUG
Lagopus muta (rock ptarmigan) is the source of this 4527-nucleotide long non-coding RNA. RefSeq lists it as uncharacterized. NCBI's taxonomy places the organism in Eukaryota, Metazoa, Chordata, Aves, Galliformes, Phasianidae. The record is from RefSeq and is a predicted model, not a curated record. The transcript is spliced from 5 exons.